UGUAGUCAUAUGCUUGUCUCAAAGAUUAAGCCAUGCAUGUCUAAGUAUAAGCAAUUAUACCGCGAAACUGCGAAUGGCUCAUUAAAUCAGUUAUCGUUUAUUUGAUAGUACCUUACUACAUGGAUAACCGUGGUAAUUCUAGAGCUAAUACAUGCUGAAAAUCCCGACUUCGGAAGGGAUGUAUUUAUUAGAUUAAAAACCAAUGCCCUUCGGGGCUCUCUGGUGAUUCAUAAUAACUUCUCGAAUCGCACGGCCUUGUGCCGGCGAUGGUUCAUUCAAAUUUCUGCCCUAUCAACUUUCGACGGCUGGGUCUUGGCCAGCCGUGGUGACAACGGGUAACGGAGGGUUAGGGCUCGACCCCGGAGAAGGAGCCUGAGAAACGGCUACUACAUCCAAGGAAGGCAGCAGGCGCGCAAAUUACCCAAUCCCGACACGGGGAGGUAGUGACAAUAAAUACUGAUACAGGGCUCUUUCGGGUCUUGUAAUUGGAAUGAGUACAAUUUAAAUCCCUUAACGAGGAACAAUUGGAGGGCAAGUCUGGU
RNAcentral lists this ribosomal RNA (542 nucleotides) under uncultured eukaryote. RNAcentral describes it as "SSU rRNA". It matches the Rfam family "Eukaryotic small subunit ribosomal RNA", at positions 21 to 565 of the family's 1831-position model. The record is from RNAcentral.